UUACGGCCACAUCACGUUGCAACACCAGUACCCGUAAUAUUAUCGAAGUUAAGCCAACCUCAGUCUGGUCAGUACCUAGAUGGGUGACUGCUUGGGAAUACUAGGUAAUGUA
Non-coding RNA from Acanthosepion pharaonis, 112 nucleotides. The record is from the annotation of a GenBank genome assembly. NCBI's taxonomy places the organism in Eukaryota, Metazoa, Mollusca, Cephalopoda, Sepiida, Sepiidae.